AAAUUGAAGAGUUUGAUCAUGGCUCAGAUUGAGCGCUGGCGGCAGGCCUAACACAUGCAAGUCGAACGGUAACAGGAAGCAGCUUGCUGCUUCGCUGACGAGUGGCGGACGGGUGAGUAAUGUCUGGGAAACUGCCUGAUGGAGGGGGAUAACUACUGGAAACGGUGGCUAAUACCGCAUAACGUCGCAAGACCAAAGAGGGGGACCUUCGGGCCUCUUGCCAUCAGAUGUGCCCAGAUGGGAUUAGCUAGUUGGUGAGGU
RNAcentral lists this ribosomal RNA (261 nucleotides) under Salmonella enterica. RNAcentral's name for it is "partial 16S ribosomal RNA". It matches the Rfam family "Bacterial small subunit ribosomal RNA", at positions 1 to 258 of the family's 1533-position model. The record is from RNAcentral. Lineage: Bacteria; Pseudomonadati; Pseudomonadota; Gammaproteobacteria; Enterobacterales; Enterobacteriaceae.